UCCGAGUUGACCCCGGCAGUCUCCUACGAGUCCCCACCAUUACGUGCUGGCAACUAAGGACAAGGGUUGCGCUCGUUGCGGGACUUAACCCAACAUCUCACGACACGAGCUGACGACAGCCAUGCAGCACCUGUGUUCGAGUUCCCGAAGGCACCAAUCCAUCUCUGGAAAGUUCUCGACAUGUCAAGGCCAGGUAAGGUUCUUCGCGUUGAACGGUUGGUU
This 222-nucleotide unclassified non-coding RNA is filed under the name uncultured Gammaproteobacteria bacterium. RNAcentral's name for it is "contains 16S-23S intergenic spacer region". The record is from RNAcentral. Lineage: Bacteria; Pseudomonadati; Pseudomonadota; Gammaproteobacteria.